RNAcentral lists this long non-coding RNA (226 nucleotides) under Elaeis guineensis (African oil palm). Its description in RNAcentral is "long non-coding RNA (EGUI_LNC023908)". The record is from RNAcentral. Lineage: Eukaryota; Viridiplantae; Streptophyta; Magnoliopsida; Arecales; Arecaceae.
UCCCUGGACGACCUCCCCCGCCACGGCGAUGCCUCCCGAUGACGGGUCGGCCAUCUCUUCAGUGACUUGGUCGCCGGCCCCCGGCGGGACGAUACUGCUGAGGUCCAGCUCCGGGUACAAGGCUUGGACCGCAUCCCGACCGUCCUCGUACCCCACCCGGUAUGACGCGAAGCCAGACUCCAACAUCUCCUCCCGGUACUGGUCGGUGGCGCGGAAGUCAUCCACC